CACUGUGGAAUUCGCCCUUAGUUGAUCCUGGCUCAGGAUGAACGCUGGCGGUAUGCCUAACACAUGCAAGUCGAACGGAAUCUUCGGAUUCAGUGGCGGACGGGUGAGUAACGCGUGAGAAUCUGCCUUCAGGAUGGGGACAACAGUGAGAAAUCGCUGCUAAAACCCAAUGUGCCGAGAGGUGAAAUACUUGUAGCCUGAAGAGGAGCUCGCGUCCGAUUAGUUAGUUGGUGGGGUAAGAGCCUACCAAGGCAGCGAUCGGUAGCUGGUCUGAGAGGAUGAGCAGCCACACUGGGACUGAGACACGGCCCAGACUCCUACGGGAGGCAGCAGUGGGGAAUUUUCCGCAAUGGGCGAAAGCCUGACGGAGCAAUACCGCGUGAGGGAGGAAGGUUUUUGGAUUGUAAACCUCUUUUGUUAAGGAAGAAGAAAGUGACGGUACUUAACGAAUAAGCAUCGGCUAACUCCGUGCCAGCAGCCGCGGUAAUACGGAGGAUGCAAGCGUUAUCCGGAAUCAUUGGGCGUAAAGCGUCCGCAGGUGGUUAAUCAAGUCUGCUGUUAAAGACAGAAGCUCAACUUCUGAUAGGCAGUGGAAACUGGGUAACUAGAGUAUGGUAGGGGUUGAGGGAAUUCCCAGUGUAGCGGUGAAAUGCGUAGAUAUUGGGAAGAACACCAGUGGCGAAGGCGCUCAACUGGGCCAUAACUGACACUCAGGGACGAAAGCUAGGGUAGCGAAAGGGAUUAGAUACCCCUGUAGUCUUAGCUGUAAACGAUGAACACUAGGCGUUGCUUGUAUCGACCCGAGCAGUGCCGUAGCCAACGCGUUAAGUGUUCCGCCUGGGGAGUACGCACGCAAGUGUGAAACUCAAAGGAAUUGACGGGGGCCCGCACAAGCGGUGGAGUAUGUGGUUUAAUUCGAUGCAACGCGAAGAACCUUACCAGGACUUGACAUCUCGAGAAGUUCGCCUCAUAGCGAAUGUGCCUUAGGGAACUCGAAGACAGGUGGUGCAUGGCUGUCGUCAGCUUGUGUCGUGAGAUGUUGGGUUAAGUCCCGCAACGAGCGCAACCCUCGUUCUUAGUUGCCAGCAUUAAGUUGGGCACUUUAGGAAGACUGCCGGUGACAAACCGGAGGAAGGUGGGGAUGACGUCAAGUCAGCAUGCCCCUUACGUUCUGGGCUACACACGUACUACAAUGGUUGGGACAAAGGGCAGCGAGCGAGUAAUCGUAAGCGAAUCUCAUCAAACCCAGCCUCAGUUCAGAUUGCAGGCUGCAACUCGCCUGCAUGAAGGAGGAAUCGCUAGUAAUCGCAGGUCAGCAUACUGCGGUGAAUUCGUUCCCGGGCCUUGUACACACCGCCCGUCACACCAUGGAAGUUGGCCACGCCCGAAGUCGUUACCCUAACCGUUCGCGGAGGGGGAUGCCGAAGGCAGGGCUGGUGACUAGGGUGAAGUCGUAACAAGGUAGCCGUACCGGAAGGUGUGGCUGGAUCACCUCCU
Molecule: ribosomal RNA, 1497 nt
Filed under: Odorella benthonica
Lineage: Bacteria; Bacillati; Cyanobacteriota; Cyanophyceae; Pleurocapsales
Description: 16S ribosomal RNA
Rfam family: Bacterial small subunit ribosomal RNA
Source: RNAcentral